GAUGAACGCUGGCGGUAUGCUUAACACAUGCAAGUCGAACGGAGUUCCUUCGGGGACUCAGUGGCGGACGGGUGAGUAACACGUGAGAACCUACCCUUAGGAUGGGGACAACAGUUGGAAACGACUGCUAAUACCCGAUGUGCCGGAAGGUGAAAGAUUUAUCGCCUAGGGAAGGGCUCGCGGCUGAUUAGCUAGUUGGUAAGGUAAAGGCUUACCAAGGCAACGAUCAGUAGCUGGUCUGAGAGGAUGAGCAGCCACACUGGGACUGAGACACGGCCCAGACUCCUACGGGAGGCAGCAGUGGGGAAUUUUCCGCAAUGGGCGAAAGCCUGACGGAGCAAUACCGCGUGUGGGAGGAAGGCUCUUGGGUUGUAAACCACUUUUCUCAGGGAAGAAUAGAUGACGGUACCUGAGGAAUAAGCAUCGGCUAACUCCGUGCCAGCAGCCGCGGUAAUACGGAGGAUGCAAGCGUUAUCCGGAAUCAUUGGGCGUAAAGCGUCCGCAGGUGGCCUAUCAAGUCUGCUGUCAAAGCGCAGAGCUCAACUCUGUAAAGGCAGUGGAAACUGAUAAGCUAGAGUACGGUAGGGGUAGCGGGAAUUCCCAGUGUAGCGGUGAAAUGCGUAGAUAUUGGGAAGAACAUCGGUGGCGAAGGCGCGCUACUGGGCCGAAACUGACACUGAGGGACGAAAGCUAGGGGAGCGAAAGGGAUUAGAUACCCCUGUAGUCCUAGCCGUAAACGAUGGAAACUAGGCGUGGCUUG
Molecule: ribosomal RNA, 760 nt
Filed under: uncultured cyanobacterium
Lineage: Bacteria; Bacillati; Cyanobacteriota
Description: bacterial SSU rRNA
Rfam family: Bacterial small subunit ribosomal RNA
Source: RNAcentral